GACGAACGCUGGCGGCGUGCUUAACACAUGCAAGUCGAACGCUGAAGGCCCAGCUUGCUGGGUUGGAUGAGUGGCGAACGGGUGAGUAACACGUGAGUAACCUGCCCCCUUCUUUGGGAUAACGGUCGGAAACGGCUGCUAAUACCGGGUAUUCACUGUCCUUCGCAUGGGGGGUGGUGGAAAGGUUUUUUCUGGUGGGGGAUGGGCUCGCGGCCUAUCAGCUUGUUGGUGGGGUGAUGGCUUACCAAGGCUUUGACGGGUAACCGGCCUGAGAGGGUGACCGGUCACAUUGGGACUGAGAUACGGCCCAGACUCCUACGGGAGGCAGCAGUGGGGAAUAUUGCACAAUGGGCGAAAGCCUGAUGCAGCGACGCCGCGUGAGGGAUGACGGCCUUCGGGUUGUAAACCUCUUUCGCUCAUGGUCAAGCCGCAACAGUGGUUGUGGUGAGGGUAGUGGGUAAAGAAGCACCGGCUAACUACGUGCCAGCAGCCGCGGUAAUACGUAGGGUGCGAGCGUUGUCCGGAAUUAUUGGGCGUAAAGGGCUUGUAGGCGGUUUGUCGCGUCUGCCGUGAAAUCCUCUGGCUUAACUGGGGGCGUGCGGUGGGUACGGGCAGGCUUGAGUGCGGUAGGGGAGACUGGAACUCCUGGUGUAGCGGUGGAAUGCGCAGAUAUCAGGAAGAACACCGGUGGCGAAGGCGGGUCUCUGGGCCGUUACUGACGCUGAGGAGCGAAAGCGUGGGGAGCGAACAGG
This 752-nucleotide ribosomal RNA is filed under the name uncultured Actinomyces sp. RNAcentral's name for it is "bacterial SSU rRNA". It matches the Rfam family "Bacterial small subunit ribosomal RNA", at positions 28 to 776 of the family's 1533-position model. The record is from RNAcentral. Lineage: Bacteria; Bacillati; Actinomycetota; Actinomycetes; Actinomycetales; Actinomycetaceae.